AGUAGUUAAAAGCGAGGGCCCUUAGCAACCCCCCUUAGCUUUUUUGAUCAUCCAAGCUUCGCCCUCUUUGUAGUUUAGUACUCUUGACGACGAAGUACCUAACCUACCAAUGUCAACAAACGGUUUAAUUUUAAAAAGGUAUUUUUAUUUUUAUAAAAAUAUAAGCUCUUUUUGAAAAUUGACACGCUGACGCGUGUGGAAUGGGUAAGGCAAAGCUCUCGUUCGGACAACAUAUGUUGUCCCCCUUCUUGUUCCCCAUUAGGGGAUGCCACAGCCCCUUUAUUUGUUCCUUGUAGUAGGCCUUCCGUUGAAACUAUAACAUAGCUGCAAAGCAGCGUAUGUUCCACAAGACUUCGUUAAGCCUUUGGUUAUUUUUUUUUAGCAAUAAAACCUAAAACUAUAGAAAGUUGCUAAACAGGUUUAAGACAUUAGAAUUUAUAUAAGAUAAAAUAACUUUUAGAGACAGAAGCUGUUAUUUAAUUUUUAGGCGCAAAGCGCUGUGAAUAAAAAAUUUUAAAAUCCGCUUUUUUAAAAUUUUUUUGUUUCUUAUUCUAAAAAAAUGCGUGAUCGCCCACGCGGCAAAGCUUCUAACUUGCUACAUUGUAACAAGAGUACUUACAAUUACCGUACGCGUAACCUACGGUGGCCUAAGGUGCAUCAGCGUUUUAAUAGCAGCUCGCGCUACAAGUUAUAGAAAGUCCAACAAACCACAAUGACGGUUAUAGCGNGCUAGUUUUGUUAUUCAUUUAAAACAAUGUAGUUCAAGGCAAAAUCCCUAAUGUAGUUAAAGUAAGGUGCCCUUCCGUAAAAAAGCUAAAAAUAUUGCGCUAUGUUGUUCCCCUUUN
RNAcentral lists this long non-coding RNA (845 nucleotides) under Volvox carteri. RNAcentral's name for it is "long non-coding RNA (VCAR_LNC004229)". The record is from RNAcentral. Lineage: Eukaryota; Viridiplantae; Chlorophyta; Chlorophyceae; Chlamydomonadales; Volvocaceae.